RNAcentral lists this ribosomal RNA (515 nucleotides) under uncultured bacterium. RNAcentral's name for it is "partial 16S ribosomal RNA". It matches the Rfam family "Bacterial small subunit ribosomal RNA", at positions 28 to 523 of the family's 1533-position model. The record is from RNAcentral.
GAUGAACGCUGGCGGCGUGCCUAAUACAUGCAAGUCGAGCGAAUGGAUUAAGAGCUUGCUCUUAUGAAGUUAGCGGCGGACGGGUGAGUAACACGUGGGUAACCUGCCCAUAAGACUGGGAUAACUCCGGGAAACCGGGGCUAAUACCGGAUAAUAUUUUGAACUGCAUGGUUCAAAAUUGAAAGGCGGCUUCGGCUGUCACUUAUGGAUGGACCCGCGUCGCAUUAGCUAGUUGGUGAGGUAACGGCUCAACAAGGCAACGAUGCGUAGCCGACCUGAGAGGGUGAUCGGCCACACUGGGACUGAGACACGGCCCAGACUCCUACGGGAGGCAGCAGUAGGGAAUCUUCCGCAAUGGACGAAAGUCUGACGGAGCAACGCCGCGUGAGUGAUGAAGGCUUUCGGGUCGUAAAACUCUGUUGUUAGGGAAGAACAAGUGCUAGUUGAAUAAGCUGGCACCUUGGCGGUACCUAACCAGAAAGCCACGGCUAACUACGUGCCAGCCGCCGCCGUAA